Trematomus bernacchii (emerald rockcod) is the source of this 492-nucleotide long non-coding RNA. RefSeq lists it as uncharacterized. The record is from RefSeq and is a predicted model, not a curated record. NCBI's taxonomy places the organism in Eukaryota, Metazoa, Chordata, Actinopteri, Perciformes, Nototheniidae. The transcript has 3 exons.
UGGAGUGAUGAGGAUGUGUCGGCACGUCUGGCGAUUUACUCGGAGGAUGGGAUCCAGCAGCUUCUACUGAAGGCAGUUUCCAACUGCAAAAUGUAUCAGCGUUGUUCGGUAAAGUUAGCCGACAUGGGAAUCUUCCACAGCGCACACUCAUGCCGGGACAAAAUAAAGAAACUAAAGCAGGACUACAAACAAAUAAAAGACCAUAAUAACAGUGGUUAACGGCCGGAAGACCCGUAAAUGGUAUGAUCGAUUGAAUGCUCUGCUCGGCGACAGACCCUCAUUCUCCGGCACUUGUGGUGAAACGGCGGAUUCAGUGGCCUGUGAAUUGUCCAACGACGACUACUACGAAGGCGAGGCAGGACAACUCUCUGGAUUGGAAACAAGUGAGCUUUCCCCUCCGGAUCACAACAGCAGCACUUUCUCGUCUCCUUUUCAACCAUCCAAACGCAAAAGAAAGCGGGCACGGGAUGACAGCUUCCUUGACACCAUCAU